Molecule: non-coding RNA, 117 nt
Filed under: Gorilla gorilla (western gorilla)
Lineage: Eukaryota; Metazoa; Chordata; Mammalia; Primates; Hominidae
Source: RNAcentral
GGGAGCCGUUGUGGCUCCGGCCGAUUGCGCCGGCCCUUGGGCCCUCAGGGCAGGUCGAGGCUUCGAGUUCGAGGCCAGCCUGGCCCACGUUGGUACGAAAAAAACAAAAAAUUUUUU